AGAGAGAGACAUGCGCGCAUAUCAAUAAGCGGAGGAAAAGAAACUAACAAGGAUUCCCCUAGUAACGGCGAGUGAAGCGGGAAGAGCUCAAAUUUGAAAUCUUAAAGGGUUUCCCUUUACGAAUUGUAGUUUAAAGAAGUGUUUUCUGUUGAGGUUUUGGUAAAAGUUCUUUGGAAUAGGACAUCAUAGAGGGUGAGAAUCCCGUAUUUGACCUUUACUUUCAACUUUGUGAUACACUUUCAAAGAGUCGGAUUGUUUGGGAAUGCAGUCCAAAAUGGGUGGUAAAUUUCAUCUAAAGCUAAAUAUUGGCGAGAGACCGAUAGCGAACAAGUACCGUGAGGGAAAGAUGAAAAGAACUUUGAAAAGAGAGUUAAACAGUACGUGAAGUUGUCAAAAGGGAAGCGUUUGACACCAGUGUUGUUUUUCUGAAAAUCAAUUAAAGAACUGUUUAUGCUAAGCUGUUUAGACUUUAUCAGCUAACUGUUUAGUUUUGAGCUUUUCUUUAAUGCACUUUUCAGUUAACAAGUCAACAUCAAUUUCUUUUGCUGUAAAAAAGCUUGAGGAAGGUGGCUUGAGAUUCGUCUUAAGUGUUUAUAGCCUCUUGCCUAUGCAGUCGGAGAGAUUGAGGUCUGCAGCGUAGAUCCUUCGGGGCUAAAUGCAUUUGUGCUAAGUUAUAGCAUUUUAUAGACAACUUGUUGACUAUGAUUUGUCUUGUAGCUUACUCGCUUAUGUUAUUUUACCUACGCUUAGGAUGUUGACGCAUGAGAUAUACGC
RNAcentral lists this ribosomal RNA (774 nucleotides) under uncultured Neocallimastigales. RNAcentral's name for it is "partial large subunit ribosomal RNA". It matches the Rfam family "Eukaryotic large subunit ribosomal RNA", at positions 23 to 647 of the family's 3401-position model. Lineage: Eukaryota; Fungi; Neocallimastigomycota; Neocallimastigomycetes; Neocallimastigales. The record is from RNAcentral.